GACGAACGCUGGCGGCGUGCUUAACACAUGCAAGUCGAACGGUAAGGCCCUUCGGGGUACACGAGUGGCGAACGGGUGAGUAACACGUGGGUGAUCUGCCCUGCACUUCGGGAUAAGCCUGGGAAACUGGGUCUAAUACCGGAUAGGACUCCUGGCUUCAUGGUUGGGGGUGGAAAGCUUUUGCGGUGUGGGAUGGGCCCGCGGCCUAUCAGCUUGUUGGUGGGGUAAUGGCCUACCAAGGCGACGACGGGUAGCCGGCCUGAGAGGGUGACCGGUCACACGGGGACUGAGAUACGGCCCAGACACCGACGGGAGGCAGCAGGGGGGAAUAUUGCACAAUGUGCGGAAGCCUGAUGCGGCGACGCCGCGGGAGGGAUGACGGCCUUGGGGUUGUAAACCUCUUUCAGCUAUGACGAAGCGCAAGUGACGGUAGUAGCAGAAGAAGGACCGGCCAACUACGUGCCAGCAGCCGCCGUAA
Molecule: ribosomal RNA, 478 nt
Filed under: uncultured bacterium
Lineage: Bacteria
Description: partial 16S ribosomal RNA
Rfam family: Bacterial small subunit ribosomal RNA
Source: RNAcentral